CAGAACAAAGGUAACCUGCUCGCUACUAAUGCCAACUAGUGGACAGGGCCACAAUUUUGACUCGAAUGCCGUCGGAGACCCAGGUACAUUCUUUGGGGGUACAUUCCUCAACGCAUCAGCCGAUUUUCAACUUUGUCAGGGAAUGAAGAUUAUGGUAAAUAAUAUUACUGCUUGAAAGAAAUAUAGGAAAAAAAAGUGAUCUUUUUGAAUGUUGAUUUUUCUUUGUAUUUUCAAAAUAAAUUUUUUUCAUUGAUCA
Molecule: long non-coding RNA, 256 nt
Organism: Uloborus diversus
Lineage: Eukaryota; Metazoa; Arthropoda; Arachnida; Araneae; Uloboridae
Exons: 2
Source: RefSeq, a predicted model, not a curated record